This 1126-nucleotide long non-coding RNA is filed under the name Hordeum vulgare. Its description in RNAcentral is "long non-coding RNA (HVUL_LNC021261)". Lineage: Eukaryota; Viridiplantae; Streptophyta; Magnoliopsida; Poales; Poaceae. The record is from RNAcentral.
CACGCUAUAGCCCGCUAUAGCUUAUUUGGAGGUCCGUCGCUAUUUUCCAUAGCCCGCUAUUUAAAACAUUGCAAGUAAAUAAUAGAGUAGAUUCCAGUUUUACCCCCAUAAUUCAUGUUUUUUACAGUUAUUACCCCAUUUAAUGAAAUUUCUUAAUUUAUAUUCAAUUUAGACAAAUUUGGGCCACACUUUACACUGCUUAGUUUUUUCUUAGUUUUGAUGCUGAGCGCGCUAUAUCGUCGCUAAUAGCACGCUAUAGCCCGCUAUAGCUUAUUUGAAGGUCCGUCGCUAUUUGUCAUAGCCCGCUAUUUAAAACAUUGCAAGUAAAUAAUAGAGUGGGUUCCAUUUUUACUCCCAUUAUGCGACAAAGGGAGGAAGACUAGCCAGCGCUGCACCCUUACCAAGGUCAGUAGCUACGGCUACAGAUGAAGCCUUUCUUGUGGCGCCACUAUAGAAUAUCGCCAUGUGAAAUAUUUCCUAAAGUUUAGAGGGUGCUUGGAUACAAGGGACUUAUUUUAGUCUGACUAAAAAUAGUCUCUUUAAGAGGCUAAAGUUCCAAGCACCACUGACUAAAGAGGGGCUAAAACUAGUCUUGAGACUAAAAAAAUUUAGUCAGGGGUACCCCUACUAAAAUGUGGAUUAGUCUUCUCUCUCCUCAUUUAACUCAUCUCCUUUAACACAGGCGAGUUCUGGAUUGGAGAGUUUGGAGGAUAAUAAAUGCUCAUUAACUUGAUUUUAGUCUCUUUAGUAUUUGGAUCCAAGCAUGAGUGAGAAUAGCAAAUUUUAGUCCCAUUAUUUUUAAUCAUGGGACUAAAACGUAUCCAAACCCCCUCCUAGUAUAUGAAGCUAGCUACUUGCAGCCCCUAUUAACGACACUCUAUUUCAACCAGUAUCAAAAGUCGUUGUUCCCAAUACAUCACAUUCCCCACUAGAUAAUGCUAUGUGACUGUCCGUGCCAUUCACCAUGCUUGUUAGUGUUGCUCUCCUCGCACACUUCACCAUUCUUUUCCUAGCAAACGAGUGUGCCAUGCUACACUGGAAAUAAGCUAGUUAUUUAUAGGAGACCGACGAGCAACCAAUGUUGUGGGUGGCAUACACAUCAUUAUUGCUUCACCAAACAUCACAU